GACGAACGCUGGCGGCGUGCCUAAUACAUGCAAGUAGAACGCUGAAGGAGGAGCUUGCUUCUCUGGAUGAGUUGCGAACGGGUGAGUAACGCGUAGGUAACCUGCCUGGUAGCGGGGGAUAACUAUUGGAAACGAUAGCUAAUACCGCAUAAUAGUAGAUGUUGCAUGACAUUUGCUUAAAAGGUGCAAUUGCAUCACUACCAGAUGGACCUGCGUUGUAUUAGCUAGUUGGUGGGGUAACGGCUCACCAAGGCGACGAUACAUAGCCGACCUGAGAGGGUGAUCGGCCACACUGGGACUGAGACACGGCCCAGACUCCUACGGGAGGCAGCAGUAGGGAAUCUUCGGCAAUGGACGGAAGUCUGACCGAGCAACGCCGCGUGAGUGAAGAAGGUUUUCGGAUCGUAAAGCUCUGUUGUAAGAGAAGAACGAGUGUGAGAGUGGAAAGUUCACACUGUGACGGUAACUUACCAGAAAGGGACGGCUAACUACGUG
This 495-nucleotide ribosomal RNA is filed under the name uncultured bacterium. RNAcentral describes it as "partial 16S ribosomal RNA". It matches the Rfam family "Bacterial small subunit ribosomal RNA", at positions 28 to 507 of the family's 1533-position model. The record is from RNAcentral.